UCUAACAGGUCACAUGGACCCUGAUCUGUUCCGGGUCAGAGUGGAGCCACUUUCACAUGUGGUCCAAAUCAGAUCCAGGUCCGAUUGUUUGUCUAAAGCGACCGGCGUCACAGUUCUGGUCUAGACGGAGCCGCGGGGAACGAAACAGCUCUGCAAAAGCCAGAAUUCAACGCGUGUCUCUCUUUCUCAGCUCACACGCUGAUAUUUAAACUGUAAUGUGAGCUGUCAGUCAAAACAAUUCAGCAUUCAGCCUGCAGAGUGACACUGAGACACUUCCAGCACCUGCUCAGGUAAACAGCUGGAAAUACUGAUGUAGGAGACGGGAACAGAGCAACUCAGAUUUCCUGACAAACUGCUUAGAAACAUCAGUGACAGAAAGGAUUAUCUGUGAAGGACUCAGUUAAUCAAUCCAUCACCUACUGACCGUCGCACUGAGCGGGAAGAAGCAGAAGAAGAACUGCAGGGUUUUGUUUCUCAGCUUUAUCCUGAAGCUUCAGCUGAAACAGGAAGCCGAGUUUCCUUUUUACAGGAUGUUUGUGUUGCAUGUGAACGCCCCGCUGCUGGUCCCACAGACCUGUUACUCUUCAUCAUCAUCACCAUCAUCAGAGUGUGGCUCAGCCUCUGGUCACCCUCUCUGCUCUGUUUUAGUCUCUGAUCAGCUGAUUUAAAACUCUGACAUGUUGUUCGGUUUCCUUCUCACCUGCAGAACAGUAAGAGGACUCCUCGACACAGGUUCUGGUCCCAACAGAUUCAGAUUCAGGUCCACACAGAUUCACAGUGAAGAAUCCUUCGUCUCCCCUCAUCAGUAAAUCUCUGUGUCAGUGUUACAGACGCCUCCGGACUCGGCAGAACAAACACUUUUUGAAAAGAACGAGAACCUGAUUUUAUGACGAGACGACGGAGGCUGAACGGGAAGCUGAUCUGAGACCAGGUCCAGAGCGACUGAGAGAUCAAACCAAUCGGCUAUUAAGUAAAUGUGACGCUGCGUGUUUCAGGACGAGGUCGGGAUGGUGAACUGGUGUUUUGGCUGCAGCUCAUUAGAAUAAAAGAAGAUAUUAAGUUCUCAGAUUCAUUCCGCCUGCACAGACCCUGCAGAGACCCUGAUCCUGCAGAGACCACUACAACCAGUCUGCACCCAUCAGCUUCUAGAGUCUGGAGAUUCAGUUUAGUGCAGUUUCCUACAGGAACCCCGCCCUCUGUCCUCAUUGGAUGAUUGACAGGUUCAGCCAUCUUGUGCACAGACCUGCUGAUGAGACGUGCUGGUUAAAUAAAAAUGAGAUUUUAUCUGCAUCUAAUCCCCGACGCCGUGUUCUCCACUGGAUCUUCAGUUCUUCCUUCAGCUGAUCUGAAAGCAUGAAAUCUCCUCCAACUGGACACGGAGAGGCCGAGCUCCUGCAGGAGGUCAGAAACCUCUCUCCUCCCCCUCAGAGUCAGAACCUGAACUCAAAGACAUGAAACAUCUGGAUCAUUCUUCCACUUCCCGAGGAAAUCACGAUCUCUGACGUCUGUCCUGAACAAACGUCCAGAAGCCACCAAAGAAACUGCUGAUAGAUCGGUCGCCAAUUAAUCCGGCUGACAUCUGGCACCGAUACCUGCGCUCACGAGGGUCAAAUUAAUACUUACUUAAUUAAUACAAACUAAUAAAUUAACUUCAGUCAGUUCUGCCAAAGUCCUUCUACAGCUUAGUCCCGCCCCUCGGCAGCCAUCUUGGUAAGGCCUCAGGUAUCUGGGACUAACAGGAUCAGGUCUCUCGCUGAAUGAACGGGCAGAGAGCCAGAACUGCACUUUGAUUUUUUAAAACGUUUCCCGGCUCGGCUGGUAAAAGCAGACGAUUGGCUGUCUGGCGGGCGGGAUGACCGCCGUCUUUGCGUUACAGGCUUCGCCCAGAGGAUUCUAUUCAGGACUCUGUAAGCGUGUCUCUUUCUUAAAUCGCCUCUGGUUCUGCUCACAGUCUCAGAACAGGGACGAAAGAAAAGCAGAGCUUGCGCUGAGUUACAGAAGCUAGACAGGAAGUGACGUCAGAACCCUCUUCUAACACUGAAGCUACUGAACCUCCUUCAGAAGAUCAGUUUUUAAAGGUCAUCCGCAGGAGGCCGCAGUGUCCAGGACUCGUGUUUCCACUCGUGCACCGAUGCCUGGACUUGAUCGGACAGCAGUCCUUCAGUACAGUAGUGAGGAAGUCCUCGCGAACACUGUGUACUGUCCCCUGCGAGCGGUGAGAAGCUGGACAGCGGUGGAGUUUCCUCCUCGCUGCCCAAACAACAAUCAGAGCCCUGCAGACAGGAAACAGGAAGCGCCUGAGACAAUACAGCAGAGAGGAUCCGGAGCCCGGAGCAUUUUUCAGGCACGAAACAAGGAUGCAGUUGCACAUAAAGUUUUUCCUUAUCACUGCAGGAAAACAGCCGCCUGCAGGAACUCUCACUGCAACAGUUCAGAGCCUGAGAGCGACCUGCAGACGUCAUUUUCAC
Micropterus dolomieu (smallmouth bass) is the source of this 2468-nucleotide long non-coding RNA. RefSeq lists it as uncharacterized. The record is from RefSeq and is a predicted model, not a curated record. Lineage: Eukaryota; Metazoa; Chordata; Actinopteri; Centrarchiformes; Centrarchidae. The transcript has 3 exons.